UACCAGCACCCCGAGUGGUCGGGACGAUUAUUGGGCCUAAAGCAUCCGUAGCCGGUUCUACAAGUCUUCCGUUAAAUCCAGCUGCUUAACAGAUGGGCUGCGGAGGAUACUAUAAGACUAGGAGGCAGGAGAGGCAAGCGGUACUCAGUGGGUAGGGGUAAAAUCCGUUGAUCCAUUGAAGACCACCAGUGGCGAAGGCGGCUUGCCAGAAUGCGCUUGACGGUGAGGGAUGAAAGCUGGGGGAGCAAACCGG
RNAcentral lists this ribosomal RNA (253 nucleotides) under uncultured bacterium. RNAcentral describes it as "partial 16S ribosomal RNA". It matches the Rfam family "Archaeal small subunit ribosomal RNA", at positions 474 to 727 of the family's 1478-position model. The record is from RNAcentral.